Molecule: ribosomal RNA, 637 nt
Filed under: uncultured bacterium
Lineage: Bacteria
Description: bacterial SSU rRNA
Rfam family: Bacterial small subunit ribosomal RNA
Source: RNAcentral
GCUCAACCGGGGAGGGUCAUUGGAAACUGGGGAACUUGAGUGCAGAAGAGGAGAGUGGAAUUCCACGUGUAGCGGUGAAAUGCGUAGAGAUGUGGAGGAACACCAGUGGCGAAGGCGACUCUCUGGUCUGUAACUGACGCUGAGGCGCGAAAGCGUGGGGAGCGAACAGGAUUAGAUACCCUGGUAGUCCACGCCGUAAACGAUGAGUGCUAAGUGUUAGAGGGUUUCCGCCCUUUAGUGCUGCAGCAAACGCAUUAAGCACUCCGCCUGGGGAGUACGGUCGCGAGACUGAAACUCAAAGGAAUUGACGGGGGCCCGCACAAGCGGUGGAGCAUGUGGUUUAAUUCGAAGCAACGCGAAGAACCUUACCAGGUCUUGACAUCCUCUGACAACCCUAGAGAUAGGGCUUCCCCUUCGGGGGCAGAGUGACAGGUGGUGCAUGGUUGUCGUCAGCUCGUGUCGUGAGAUGUUGGGUUAAGUCCCGCAACGAGCGCAACCCUUGAUCUUGGUUGCCAGCAUUCAGUUGGGCACUCUAAGGUGACUGCCGGUGACAAACCGGAGGAAGGUGGGGAUGACGUCAAAUCAUCAUGCCCCUUAUGACCUGGGCUACACACGUGCUACAAUGGGCAGAACAAAG